AUUGAACGCUGGCGGCGUGCCUAACACAUGCAAGUCGAGCGGUAACAGGUGUAGCAAUACAUGCUGACGAGCGGCGGACGGGUGAGUAACGCUUGGGAAUCUGCCUGUUAGUGGGGGACGAACCCGGGGAAACGUACGGGCGUAAUACCGCAUACGCACUACGGUGGAAAGGCCGGGGACCGCAAGGCCUGGCGCUAACAGAUGAGCCCAAGUCGGAUUAGCUAGUUGGUAGGGUAACGGCCACCAAGGCGACGAUCCGUAACUGGUCUGAGAGGACGACCAGUCACACCGGAACUGAGACACGGUCCGGACUCCUACGGGA
RNAcentral lists this ribosomal RNA (322 nucleotides) under uncultured bacterium. RNAcentral's name for it is "bacterial SSU rRNA". It matches the Rfam family "Bacterial small subunit ribosomal RNA", at positions 29 to 346 of the family's 1533-position model. The record is from RNAcentral.